RNAcentral lists this ribosomal RNA (477 nucleotides) under uncultured bacterium. RNAcentral's name for it is "bacterial SSU rRNA". It matches the Rfam family "Bacterial small subunit ribosomal RNA", at positions 21 to 518 of the family's 1533-position model. The record is from RNAcentral.
GGCUCAGGACGAACGCUGGCGGCGUGCUUCAUACAUGCAAGUCGAACGAGAAUCGUUACUUCGGUAAGAGGAAAGUGGCGACGGGUGAGUAAUAUGUAGAGAAUCUGCCCUUAAGCGGGGGACAACAGUUGGAAACGACUGCUAAUACCCCAUAUGAGCGUACCUGAAAUGGUAUUCUUGAAAACUCCGGUGCUUAAGGAUGAGUCUGCAUCUGAUUAGCUAGUUGGGGGUGUAAUGGACCACCAAGGCGACGAUCAGUAGCUGGUUUGAGAGGAUGAUCAGCCACAAUGGGACUGAGACACGGCCCAUACUCCUACGGGAGGCAGCAGUAGGGAAUUUUGCGCAAUGGGCGAAAGCCUGAACCGCAGCAACGCCGCGUGAACGAGAAGCCCUUCGGGGUGUAAAGUUCUGUCAGUAGGGACGAACAAUGACUGUACCUACAGAGGAAGCGCCGGCUAACUCCGUGCCAGCCGCCGC